AUGCCUGACAGCUAGCCUUAACAAUCAGAUUUUAUUAUUGUGAGACCAAUGACACAUAACACAAUUAAAUAAACCAUUCUACCCCUAAGUACGGGCGACGAAAAAGGAAAUAACGAGCGACAGAAAAAGUACCGCAAGGGAACGCUGAAAAAGAAAUGAAAAAAACCAUUUAAGCACUGAAUAGCAGAGCUGACCCCUCGUACCUUUUGCAUCAUGAUUUAGCAAGUAAUAUACAAGCAAAGAGCCCUUUAGUUUGUAACCCCGAAACUGAGCGAGCUACUUCAAGACAGUCUUUAUAGGACAACCCCGUCUCUGUGGCAAAAGAGUGGGAAGAGCUUCAAGUAGAGGUGAAAAACCUACCGAGCACAGUUAUAGCUGGUUGCCUGAGAAAUGAAUAGAAGUUCAGCCCUUUAAAAUUUCCCGUCCCACAUGCCUGUGCUAAAAUUGGUCAAGGAAAUUAAAGGAGUUAAUCAAAAGGGGUACAGCCCUUUUGAUAAAAGAAACAACUUUUAUAGGUGACCCAGGAUCAUA
RNAcentral lists this ribosomal RNA (531 nucleotides) under Gaidropsarus argentatus (Arctic rockling). Its description in RNAcentral is "partial 16S ribosomal RNA". It matches the Rfam family "Bacterial large subunit ribosomal RNA", at positions 133 to 1050 of the family's 2925-position model. The record is from RNAcentral. Lineage: Eukaryota; Metazoa; Chordata; Actinopteri; Gadiformes; Gaidropsaridae.